CAAAAACAUUUUUUAAUGAAGUAAUAUUAAAUAAGACCUGCUCCUUGUAAAAUAAAAAGCCGCAGAAAAUUCACUGUGCUAAGGUAGCAUAAUCACUUGUCCUUUAAUUAAAGACUAGAAUGAAAGGUUUAACACUUAAUUAACUUUUAUUGGCUACACCCCUUUAACUUUCAAUAAAAAUUAAAAUAUUUUUAUAUUGGUAAAAGACGACAAGACCCUAUCGAGCUUAACUGUAGUUUAGCUGGGGAAGCUAAAUAAUAAUAAUCUUACUCCAUCACAUUUGAAUAAAUACCCUUUUAAAAGAAAGUAAUCAAGCUACCGAAGGGAUAACAGCGUUAUAUAUUUUCAAAGCUCAUAUUAAUAAAUCUAUAUACGACCUCGAUGUUGAAUUAAUUUUGCUUACCCGUGCAAGAAUGGGGAAAGUGAGUCUGUUCGACUUUUAAAAAAUUACAUGAUCUGAGUUCAAACCGG
This 471-nucleotide ribosomal RNA is filed under the name Nesticella nepalensis. RNAcentral's name for it is "partial 16S ribosomal RNA". It matches the Rfam family "Bacterial large subunit ribosomal RNA", at positions 1808 to 2619 of the family's 2925-position model. The record is from RNAcentral. Lineage: Eukaryota; Metazoa; Arthropoda; Arachnida; Araneae; Nesticidae.